Molecule: ribosomal RNA, 211 nt
Filed under: uncultured bacterium
Lineage: Bacteria
Description: partial 16S ribosomal RNA
Rfam family: Bacterial small subunit ribosomal RNA
Source: RNAcentral
AGUUCGGAUUGUAGUCUGNAACCCGACUACAUGAAGCUGGAAUCGCUAGUAAUCGCGGAUCAGAAUGCCGCGGUGAAUACGUUCCCGGGUCUUGUACACACCGCCCGUCACACCAUGGGAGUCGGAAAUGCCCGAAGUCUGUGACCUAACCGUAAGGAAGGAGCAGCCGAAGGCAGGUCGGAUGACUGGGGUGAAGUCGUAACAAGGUAGC